UACGGAGGGUGCAAGCGUUAAUCGGAAUUACUGGGCGUAAAGCGCACGCAGGUGGCUGAGUCAGUCGAUUGUGAAAGCCCUGGGCUUAACCUGGGAAUUGCAGUCGAUACUACUCAGCUAGAGUAUGGGAGAGGGUAGUGGAAUUCCCGGUGUAGCGGUGAAAUGCGCAGAUAUCGGGAGGAACACCAAUGGCGAAGGCAGCUUGCUGGGACGGUACUGACGCUGAGACGCGAAAGCGUGGGGAGCAAACAGG
RNAcentral lists this ribosomal RNA (253 nucleotides) under uncultured bacterium. RNAcentral describes it as "partial 16S ribosomal RNA". It matches the Rfam family "Bacterial small subunit ribosomal RNA", at positions 524 to 776 of the family's 1533-position model. The record is from RNAcentral.